This is a small nuclear RNA of Cavia porcellus (domestic guinea pig), 105 nucleotides long. Lineage: Eukaryota; Metazoa; Chordata; Mammalia; Rodentia; Caviidae. The record is from Ensembl.
GUGCUCACUUUGGGUGCACAUACUAAAAUUGGAACAAUACAGAGAAGAUUAACAUGGCCUCUGCGCAAGAAUGACAUGCAAAUUCAUGAGGCUUUUUUUUUAAAU